RNAcentral lists this ribosomal RNA (420 nucleotides) under uncultured bacterium. Its description in RNAcentral is "partial 16S ribosomal RNA". It matches the Rfam family "Bacterial small subunit ribosomal RNA", at positions 360 to 773 of the family's 1533-position model. The record is from RNAcentral.
AAUAUUGGACAAUGGGGGCAACCCUGAUCCAGCCAUGCCGCGUGUGUGAAGAAGGUCUUCGGAUUGUAAAGCACUUUAAGUUGGGAGGAAGGGCUUUAGGUUAAUACCCUGAAGUUUUGACGUUACCAACAGAAUAAGCACCGGCUAACUCUGUGCCAGCAGCCGCGGUAAUACAGAGGGUGCAAGCGUUAAUCGGAAUUACUGGGCGUAAAGCGCGGUUAGGUGGUUCAGUAGGAUGGGUGGAAAAUCCCCGGGCUUAACUUGGGAACUGCUUUAAUAACGGCUGGGCAAGAGAACGGUAGAGGGUAGUGGAAUUCCCUGUGAGGCGGUGAAAGGCGUGGAUAUAGGAAGGACCACAAGUGGCGAAGCCACCUCCUUGGACUGUUACUGCAACGGGGGUGCGAAGCGUGGGGAGCAAAC